This 432-nucleotide ribosomal RNA is filed under the name Triticum aestivum (bread wheat). Its description in RNAcentral is "partial small subunit ribosomal RNA". Lineage: Eukaryota; Viridiplantae; Streptophyta; Magnoliopsida; Poales; Poaceae. The record is from RNAcentral.
UGUAGUCUCAGCGAUGAUGCAUACAUGUCCACUAUGGGUGUUGGGUCCAACAAUUCGCAUUGGUCUCAAACCAAUGACAUCCAUUUCGAAGACCAUGAGUUUGAGGUGGACGAGGAGGGUGAGGGAAUUGUCGAGGCGCCGAGAGGAAGAGCGGGCAAUUACUCCACCACCGAUGACAAGUUACUAUGCUACACUUAUUUGCAUGUGUCGAAGGAUCCAUCCAUUGGAGGUGAUCAAAGUAGAGACGCGUAUUGGAGGCAUGGGUGCACCUCCGGCCGCCAUGGGAGGCAUGGGUGGCUUUGGAGCACCCUCCGACGCUAUGGCCGCCAUGGGAGGCAUGAGUUUUGCUUCUCUCAUGGGAGGCAUGGGUGCACCUCCGGCCGCCAUGGGUGCACCUCCGGCCGUCAUGGCUUCUCACACACAUUCCCAUGA